GGAAGAAGUUUGGCCUCCUCCUCCUGUUUUCACUGUUAUCUACUGUACACAACUUCCUGUAUGAGCACUGAGGGAGGCCGGUCCACUCAGAAAGACAGAAACAGAGAGAGACUCCCGUAUCAGAUGCUUCAAAGGACUUGCUGGCAUUGCAGUUGCUCUGCUUUUGAAUCCACAUUACGUGCACAUUAAGUAACAUAUGAUGAGCAGACAAUUGUAGGCUUAAAAAACAAUCAUAGAUUUGCCCAGCCUACCUCUGCUGGAUGGCAGCACAUCUGACCGGAGACGUCUGCGAGGAAAGGAUGAGCAAAUACAUAGACGUUUGGCAACAGCUCUGAGGAAUACUUGAGUUUCAGAGGAAUGAUGUCAUGUUCUGGACCAUGUUGCCAUAUUGGGACUUGUCAUGUGACCUGACAUCAGACAGCUCAUUCUGGACUGAUCAUUUUCCAUACUAUGCAGUUGGAAAAAUGGGAUAUUCAGACAUGAGGUAACAGUAUGGAAACCGACACUGAGGGCACAGAAAAAAAUUAAUAAAUGAUUACAUUUAAAAGAAU
Labeo rohita (rohu) is the source of this 551-nucleotide long non-coding RNA. RefSeq lists it as uncharacterized. The record is from RefSeq and is a predicted model, not a curated record. The transcript has 4 exons. Lineage: Eukaryota; Metazoa; Chordata; Actinopteri; Cypriniformes; Cyprinidae.